UACAGAGGGGGCAAGCGUUGUUCGGAAUUACUGGGCGUAAAGGGCGCGUAGGCGGCCUGUUAAGUCAGACGUGAAAUCCCUCGGCUCAACCGGGGAACUGCGUCUGAUACUGGCGGGCUUGAAUUCGGGAGAGGGAUGUGGAAUUCCUGGUGUAGCGGUGAAAUGCGUAGAGAUCAGGAGGAACACCCGUGGCGAAGGCGGCCCUCUGGCUCGACCCUGACGCUGAGAGGCGAAAGCGUGGGGAGCGAACGGG
RNAcentral lists this ribosomal RNA (253 nucleotides) under uncultured bacterium. RNAcentral describes it as "partial 16S ribosomal RNA". It matches the Rfam family "Bacterial small subunit ribosomal RNA", at positions 524 to 776 of the family's 1533-position model. The record is from RNAcentral.